UACGUAGGGUGCGAGCGUUAAUCGGAAUUACUGGGCGUAAAGCGUGCGCAGGCGGUUAUGCAAGACAGGUGUGAAAUCCCCGGGCUCAACCUGGGAACUGCACUUGUGACUGCAUGACUAGAGUGCGUCAGAGGGAGGUGGAAUUCCGCGUGUAGCAGUGAAAUGCGUAGAGAUGCGGAGGAACACCGAUGGCGAAGGCAGCCUCCUGGGAUGACACUGACGCUCAUGCACGAAAGCGUGGGGAGCAAACAGGAUUAGAUACCCUGGUAGUCCACGCCCUAAACGAUGUCUACUAGUUGUCGGGGAUUCAUUUCCUUGGUAACGCAGCUAACGCGUGAAGUAGACCGCCUGGGGAGUACGGCCGCAAGGUUAAA
RNAcentral lists this ribosomal RNA (374 nucleotides) under uncultured bacterium. Its description in RNAcentral is "bacterial SSU rRNA". It matches the Rfam family "Bacterial small subunit ribosomal RNA", at positions 524 to 898 of the family's 1533-position model. The record is from RNAcentral.